Molecule: long non-coding RNA, 240 nt
Filed under: Rattus norvegicus (Norway rat)
Lineage: Eukaryota; Metazoa; Chordata; Mammalia; Rodentia; Muridae
Description: long non-coding RNA NONRATT018822
Source: RNAcentral
AUCCCUUUCUUCAACCCCUUUCUGUUUGGUAGUGCUAGUAGGGCUCCUGUGUGCCAGCCAGGCCAGCACCACUGCAGGCCUCCCUGCCGGAGGUAACUUCUGAGAACCUGGUCAAAGCACCUUUCCCACUGUUAAGGAUUCACUUGUCACUUUCGACAGAGGCAGUAGUGGGGACUUCGUUUUGGCACAGGCUCGGGAAAGCACUGAAGGCUGCCAAUAAACAACUGUUGAAUGAGAAAA